RNAcentral lists this non-coding RNA (30 nucleotides) under Homo sapiens (human). Lineage: Eukaryota; Metazoa; Chordata; Mammalia; Primates; Hominidae. The record is from RNAcentral.
UCGGCCAAUUGUGUUGGUCCUUCCCCCUGC